Non-coding RNA from Gammaproteobacteria bacterium, 358 nucleotides. Lineage: Bacteria; Pseudomonadati; Pseudomonadota; Gammaproteobacteria. The record is from Rfam.
GGAGUCGGCCAAGACAACCGCGUCGCGGGUAACCGCGCCGAGGAAAGUCCGGGCUCCACAGAGCAGAGUGCCAGGUAACGCCUGGGCGGCGUAAGCCGACGGCCAGUGCAACAGAGAAUAGACCGCCGAACGGCGUCGCAAGACGUGCGUGGUAAGGGUGAAACGGUGGGGUAAGAGCCCACCGCCUGCGGGGACAACGUCGCAGGGCACGGUAAACCCCACUCGGAGCAAGGCCAAAUAGGGGUGCUAUGGGUUGGCUCGACCCGCACCCGGGUGUGCUGCUUGAGCCUAGCGGUGACGCUGGGCCUAGAGGAAUGGUUGUCCACGACAGAACCCGGCUUACCGGCCGGCUCCGCCA